GACGAACGCUGGCGGCGUGCUUAACACAUGCAAGUCGAACGGAAAGGCUCCUUUGGGGGUACUCGAGUGGCGAACGGGUGAGUAACCCGUGAGUAACCUGCCCUUGACUUCGGGAUAACUUCAGGAAACUGGGGCUAAUACAGGAUAGGAAUCCUUGCUGCAUGGUGGGGGUUGGAAAGCUUCGGCGGUUUUGGAUGGACUCGCGGCUUAUCCGCUUGUUGGUGGGGUAGUGGCUUACCAAGGCUUUGACGGGUAGCCGGCCUGAGAGGGAGACCGGUCACAUUGGGACUUAGAUACGGCCCAGACUCCUACGGGAGGCAGCAGUGGGGAAUAUUGCACAAUGGGCGGAAGCCUGAGGCAGCAACGCCGCGGGCGGGAUGACGGCCUUCGGGUUGUAAGCCGCUUUCAGCAGGGGCGAAGCUUGUGGUGACGGUACCUGCAGAAGAAGCACCGGCUAACUACGUG
RNAcentral lists this ribosomal RNA (465 nucleotides) under uncultured bacterium. RNAcentral describes it as "partial 16S ribosomal RNA". It matches the Rfam family "Bacterial small subunit ribosomal RNA", at positions 28 to 507 of the family's 1533-position model. The record is from RNAcentral.